CCUGGCUUUUGGGCAUGAGGGGCAAGAAGGGCGCUGCCUACCAGGAAAAGCGGGCACCCUCUGGCUUCCUCGGCAUGCGCGGCUGAGGAAUGAAAAGGGAGACUGUCCUGCCAUAAUCAACCUCCACCACCUCCACCACCUCCACCACCUCCACCACCGCCACCACUGCAACCACCACCUCCACCUCCACCACCACCAUCAACACCAAACAGCGGCAACAACAACACCAAGAAUAACAAUAAGAAAAUCACAUAAAACACAUAACUAAACAACAAUAAUAAUAAUAAUAAUAAUAAUAAUAAUAAUAAUAAUAAUAAUAAUAAUAAUAAUAAUAAUAAUAAUAAUAAUCACCCUCAUUACCUGUCUUCUCUUUAAUUAAUUCUUCUUACCUGUCCAGACCACAAUUAACUAACCCAGGUGUGUGUGUGUGUGUGUGUGUGUGUGUGUGUGUGGUGGUGGUGGUGGUGGUGGUGGUGGUAAUUAGCUUUAGUAACCUUUUCAACACCUGUCCUCGCCUGUCCCCUCACCUGUGUGUUUCAAUUAAGGUGCGUGAGGCUGGGGGGCUCUUCAUUAAGGGUUCCAGGUAUCUUAAUGGCCCAGGUGAUAGCUAUUUCCCAUUUAAUUACCUCCACUUUCCCUUUCUUUCACCUUCAUUUUACUCCUCUCUGAAUAUCCUCUUUUUUUUCUUUUUUUUCUACUUUUUCAACAAGCUUCUUUUUUCUCUUUGUUUCUGCUUUGUCAGUGGUCUUCUUUCUUCUUGUUUUCUUCUUUUCAUUCUUUCUUUUCUCGGUCAAUUUCAGCAUUUUGUAGAUAGUGUUUUUCUCGUUCAGUCUUCCUUUUUUCCCUUCAUCCCUUUUCCUUCCCUAUCCUCUUCCCUUCAUUUCUUUCCCUUUUUAUUUCCUUUCUAUGCCUUCCCUUUCUCUUCUUCCUAUCUCCUUAUACCUCCCUAUCUCUCUUCUUCCAUUCAUUCCUCUUCUUUUCCUUUCCCAUCCCUUCCCAUCCCUUCCUCUCCCUCCCUCUUCCUUGUGGCUGGUUUUCGUCCCUUCCUUUUUAAACCCAUUUCCUUUUCCAGUUAUCUAGUCAGUCAGUCAGUCUGUCUGCCCGUCUGUCUGUCUGUCUGUUGAUUCAUAGACCAGAGGGAGAAUGUUAAAUAAUAAUAAUGUAAUCCAAUCAUUUAUCACAACACUUAGUAACACAAGAACAUCGAGAGGACGGUAGAAGAGGAAUCGGAUCUCUUGUAGUAAUAGACUUUGAUCCUCUUUGUGUGUGGGAACCUUCUUUUUAUUUUGUCUUUAGUAUCUCAUUUGACAAUCCCUGCACUUGGUCAUUUCUUUUCUGCCUAAUCUUCCUUUAACUUUGUCUCUACUUUCCCCUGUUUUGAUUGUCUUCCUUUCUCCCUUUCUAACUCAUAACAUCGAGAAGUGUUGUUUCAUUAAAGGGUGUUGUGUCGCUUAUAAGUAGUGUCUGAUCCUGUGUCUGGUGUUAAUUCAAUAUGCUGGGAUGCUGGGAGCCUUCUUUCCUUAUUCCGUGUUCUGUCUCUCUCUUGUUGUGUGAGGGAGUGAAUGUUGGAAGAGAUGGUGACUGCUUUGUGUGAAGAUGGCUGUGUGUAUGUGUUAGACCUCUUCCUCUUUCUCCUCCCUCUCUUCCUCCUUCUCCUUCUUCCCAAAUAGCUGUCUGGACUUAUGUCAGUGAUUUUAAACUUGUAAAAGGGGAAUUUAGAGAAUGUUUGAAUCAAUAUAUUUUCAAAAGCCCAAAGUUAUUUCCCCUUAUUUUGAGGAUGUAAUUGCUUUUUCCUUCAUAUUUAUUUCUGCAAAGGUUUGUAGUGUUGCAUCUGUCAUGUAUUGAAUGUUGCAAAUUAUUUUGUGAAGAAGUUUGGAGUGCAGUAGUUUGUUUAUAAGGUUAAAAUUUCCCUCAUAUCAAACUAUUAAGAUAUCUCGAACUUUAAUGCAAAAAAUAUAUAUAUGAUGUUGAUGCAGGUGAUAUAUAUUGAUGAGUUAUAUAAGUGGAGAGUUGUAGACACAUCACAGAGGAAUCUAUAUAUGUAUCCAGAUAGACAUUUAUUUAUAUUUCAAGAGACAAUUACAUGUAUCCAGAGUUUUAUAUAUAUUACAGAACAAACCUAUAUCAUUACACAUAUCCAGGGAAAAUGUAUCAUAUAUAUAUUUAAUAAUAGAUAAAUAUGACAUGUAUUGAUAAGUUCAUAGGGGAGGUAGGUAGAAAUUAUUAUUAUUAUCAUUAUUAUUAUUAUUACUAUUAUUAUGAAAGUGUGAUGCAGGUGGAUACUGGUGUGUUGAUAGUUUUUUAGAGAGAGAGAGAGAGAGAGAGAGAGAGAGAGAGAGAGAGAGCGUUAUCUUCUCUCCUUCGUGGUCUAAUCUCGGCUCCCGCAACAUUGUUUUGAUCGAUUCGUGAGGCAACGCGACGAAACAUUACGACCAACACUAAAAUCUUUGGCUUCUAUAGUUCGUUCAGUGCAAUAAAGGACAGACUUGAGAUAGG
Long non-coding RNA from Eriocheir sinensis (Chinese mitten crab), 2496 nucleotides. RefSeq lists it as uncharacterized. NCBI's taxonomy places the organism in Eukaryota, Metazoa, Arthropoda, Malacostraca, Decapoda, Varunidae. The record is from RefSeq and is a predicted model, not a curated record. The transcript is spliced from 2 exons.